UGGGGAAUUUUGGACAAUGGGGGAAACCCUGAUCCAGCCAUCCCGCGUGUGCGAUGAAGGCCUUCGGGUUGUAAAGCACUUUUGGCAGGAAAGAAACGUCAUGGGUUAAUACCCCGUGAAACUGACGGUACCUGCAGAAUAAGCACCGGCUAACUACGUGCCAGCAGCCGCGGUAAUACGUAGGGUGCAAGCGUUAAUCGGAAUUACUGGGCGUAAAGCGUGCGCAGGCGGUUCGGAAAGAAAGAUGUGAAAUCCCAGAGCUCAACUUUGGAACUGCAUUUUUAACUACCGGGCUAGAGUGUGUCAGAGGGAGGUGGAAUUCCGCGUGUAGCAGUGAAAUGCGUAGAUAUGCGGAGGAGCACCGAUGGCGAAGGCAGCCUCCUGGGAUAACACUGACGCUCAUGCACGAAAGCGUGGGGAGCAAACAGG
RNAcentral lists this ribosomal RNA (429 nucleotides) under Acidobacteriota bacterium. RNAcentral describes it as "Acidobacteria bacterium partial 16S ribosomal RNA". It matches the Rfam family "Bacterial small subunit ribosomal RNA", at positions 355 to 776 of the family's 1533-position model. The record is from RNAcentral. Lineage: Bacteria; Pseudomonadati; Acidobacteriota.